CCUACGUGCGGCAGCAGUGGGGAAUAUUGGACAAUGGGCGAAAGCCUGAUCCAGCCAUGCCGCGUGUGUGAAGAAGGCCUUCGGGUUGUAAAGCACUUUCAGUGGGGAAGAAAGCCUUGGGGCUAAUACCCUCGAGGAAGGACAUCACCCACAGAAGAAGCACCGGCUAACUCCGUGCCAGCAGCCGCGGUAAUACGGAGGGUGCGAGCGUUAAUCGGAAUUACUGGGCGUAAAGCGCGCGUAGGCGGUCUGAUAAGCCGGUUGUGAAAGCCCCGGGCUCAACCUGGGAACGGCAUCCGGAACUGUCAGGCUAGAGUGCAGGAGAGGAAGGUAGAAUUCCCGGUGUAGCGGUGAAAUGCGUAGAGAUCGGGAGGAAUACCAGUGGCGAAGGCGGCCUUCUGGACUGACACUGACGCUGAGGUGCGAAAGCGUGGGUAGCAAACAGGAUUAGAUACCCUAGUAGUC
Molecule: ribosomal RNA, 465 nt
Filed under: Vreelandella stevensii
Lineage: Bacteria; Pseudomonadati; Pseudomonadota; Gammaproteobacteria; Oceanospirillales; Halomonadaceae
Description: partial 16S ribosomal RNA
Rfam family: Bacterial small subunit ribosomal RNA
Source: RNAcentral